GACGGAGGAUGCAAGUGUUAUCCGGAAUCACUGGGCGUAAAGCGUCUGUAGGUGGUUUAAAAAGUCCACUGUUAAAAUGAUGAGCUUAACUUCAAAAUGCCGUGGAAACUUUUAAACUUGAGUAUCGGUAGGGGUAGAGGGAAUUUCCAGUGGAGCGGUGAAAUGCGUAGAUAUUGGAAAGACCACCAAUGGCGAAGGCACUCUACUGGGCCAUUACUGACACUGAGAGACGAAAGCUAGGGGAGCAA
RNAcentral lists this ribosomal RNA (248 nucleotides) under uncultured bacterium. RNAcentral describes it as "partial 16S ribosomal RNA". It matches the Rfam family "Bacterial small subunit ribosomal RNA", at positions 524 to 771 of the family's 1533-position model. The record is from RNAcentral.